GUAUUGUUCAUUCGUUGAUCACAAUUUGGUAAUUGCUCGUUCAAUUGCCAUCACGUCGUUUUCGCUUUUUCCUGCACAUUUAAAUUAGUUAAAAUAUUAUACAGUAAAAUUAUAGUAUUUUACUUUUAUUGUAUAACUAAAAAUUUGACUAAUGCUUCGAAAAACGUAAAUUAAUUACUUUUUUCGUAACAAUAAGUGAAAUACGCAGUAGAACAGAGCAGCAAAGUGAUCGGAAAAUUGUGGAAAAAAUCACCAAUUUUCUUUUUUUGGAGCUCCUCACGCACCUAAAGAAAAUAUAUACACUUAUUGACUACUGCAGGAAUCGUAGUGAAAAUCGACGCGACAGCAAAAACUAAGCCGUAUGAUAUAAAUCCACUUUAAUUGAAAGCGGAAAGGCUGAGCAGUUUUAUUGGAGCGUAGAACUGGAAUCAAAAACUUCGCAUCGAAGCGGAAAACUUGAAUAUUUCGGUGAAAUAGUUGGUAAUUGAAGCAUUGGAAUCUGCGUGGAUUGCACGGCGUUUGACAUAAAAUAAUAAAAUA
Rhagoletis zephyria (snowberry fruit fly) is the source of this 540-nucleotide long non-coding RNA. RefSeq lists it as uncharacterized. NCBI's taxonomy places the organism in Eukaryota, Metazoa, Arthropoda, Insecta, Diptera, Tephritidae. The record is from RefSeq and is a predicted model, not a curated record.